ACGGGCCGACGCGGACGCCCGUUCAGACGGUGUCCGUCCAAGUCCGC
Molecule: regulatory RNA element, 47 nt
Organism: Sphingopyxis macrogoltabida
Lineage: Bacteria; Pseudomonadati; Pseudomonadota; Alphaproteobacteria; Sphingomonadales; Sphingopyxidaceae
Rfam family: chrB-b RNA
Source: Rfam